GGAGUAUGCCAGCUCAGUCUGAAACUGGCUUAAGUCCCGAAUCACCAAUAACUUUUCCGAAAGUGAACCCCAUUUCAAUGACCAACCUCAAGCUGACCUUCAGGACUUGGCAUCACAGUCAAAGGGCCAGACCCCCACCAGGAAUGGGAAUGUCUUCAGGUGCACUUGGCCUGCAAACUCAGCCCGGUGGAGAUGGUGGUGGUGAGAUGCAGGGAGAUGGAGAGAAAAAUGGGAGCAGCACCUUUCUUUACAAAGCCAAAAGCUACAUCCCCAUUGACCUAGAUGUCAUAAGAGUUUUUUUUUCCCCAAAGGGCACCAUGAUGGAGAAUCGGCUUUCCCAAGGACACACAUACCUUUGUCACACCAAGCACCACCUUGUCCUCAGACUGUUCUUGUACUGGCUUUGUUUACAAGCCAGAUCUUUUUUUAAAUGAGAAAAAUCAAAUGUUCACUUAAGAAGUGAAAUUUGAAUAAAAUUACAGUUUCAGGCAAAGCCUAUAUUAUUUUUAAAAUCAGCGAAUAAAGC
RNAcentral lists this long non-coding RNA (526 nucleotides) under Pan troglodytes (chimpanzee). RNAcentral's name for it is "long non-coding RNA NONPTRT011710". Lineage: Eukaryota; Metazoa; Chordata; Mammalia; Primates; Hominidae. The record is from RNAcentral.